RNAcentral lists this small nuclear RNA (169 nucleotides) under Dryobates pubescens (Downy woodpecker). Its description in RNAcentral is "Picoides pubescens (downy woodpecker) U1 spliceosomal RNA". It matches the Rfam family "U1 spliceosomal RNA". Rfam says of the family: U1 is a small nuclear RNA (snRNA) component of the spliceosome (involved in pre-mRNA splicing). The record is from Rfam by way of RNAcentral. Lineage: Eukaryota; Metazoa; Chordata; Aves; Piciformes; Picidae.
AUGAUGAGCUGGAGGAGCAGCAGCCAGAGGACCAGGACGAGUACUAGCCCCGGCACGCGAGGCUCAUCCUUUGCACUCCGGGUGUGCUGACCCCUGCGAUUUCCCCAAAUGCGGGAAACUCGACUGCAUAAUUUGUGGUAGUGGGGGACUGCGUUCGCGCUCUCCCCUG